This 484-nucleotide ribosomal RNA is filed under the name uncultured bacterium. RNAcentral describes it as "partial 16S ribosomal RNA". It matches the Rfam family "Bacterial small subunit ribosomal RNA", at positions 30 to 507 of the family's 1533-position model. The record is from RNAcentral.
AUUGAACGCUGGCGGCAGGCCUAACACAUGCAAGUCGAGCGGAUGAAGGGAGCUUGCUCCUGGAUUCAGCGGCGGACGGGUGAGUAAUGCCUAGGAAUCUGCCUGGUAGUGGGGGAUAACGUCCGGAAACGGGCGCUAAUACCGCAUACGUCCUGAGGGAGAAAGUGGGGGAUCUUCGGACCUCACGCUAUCAGAUGAGCCUAGGUCGGAUUAGCUAGUAGGUGGGGUAAAGGCCUACCAAGGCGACGAUCCGUAACUGGUCUGAGAGGAUGAUCAGUCACACUGGAACUGAGACACGGUCCAGACUCCUACGGGAGGCAGCAGUGGGGAAUAUUGGACAAUGGGCGAAAGCCUGAUCCAGCCAUGCCGCGUGUGUGAAGAAGGUCUUCGGAUUGUAAAGCACUUUAAGUUGGGAGGAAGGGCAGCAAGUUAAUACCUUGCUGUUUUGACGUUACCAACAGAAUAAGCACCGGCUAACUUCGUG